RNAcentral lists this transfer RNA (75 nucleotides) under bacterium. RNAcentral describes it as "tRNA-Ala". It matches the Rfam family "tRNA". From Rfam's summary of the family: Transfer RNA (tRNA) molecules are approximately 80 nucleotides in length. Their secondary structure includes four short double-helical elements and three loops (D, anti-codon, and T loops). Further hydrogen bonds mediate the characteristic L-shaped molecular structure. tRNAs have two regions of fundamental functional importance: the anti-codon, which is responsible for specific mRNA codon recognition, and the 3' end, to which the tRNAs corresponding amino acid is attached (by aminoacyl-tRNA synthetases). tRNAs cope with the degeneracy of the genetic code in two manners: having more than one tRNA (with a specific anti-codon) for a particular amino acid; and 'wobble' base-pairing, i.e. permitting non-standard base-pairing at the 3rd anti-codon position. The record is from RNAcentral.
GGGGGUGUAGUUCAGCGGGAGAACGCCUGCUUUGCAAGCAGGAGGUCGAGGGUUCAAGUCCCUCCACCUCCACCA